AUUUAUAUAGUUUAACUAAAACCUUACAUUUUCACUGUAAAAAUAAGAUUUAUGUCUUUAUAGAUA
Molecule: transfer RNA, 66 nt
Filed under: Dicerapanorpa magna
Lineage: Eukaryota; Metazoa; Arthropoda; Insecta; Mecoptera; Panorpidae
Also listed under: 1 other name
Description: tRNA-Glu
Source: RNAcentral